This 397-nucleotide ribosomal RNA is filed under the name uncultured bacterium. Its description in RNAcentral is "partial 16S ribosomal RNA". It matches the Rfam family "Bacterial small subunit ribosomal RNA", at positions 523 to 918 of the family's 1533-position model. The record is from RNAcentral.
AUACGUAGGGUGCAAGCGUUAAUCGGAAUUACUGGGCGUAAAGCGUGCGUAGGUGGUUGUUUAAGUCUGUCGUGAAAGCCCUGGGCUCAACCUGGGAAUGGCGAUGGAAACUGGGCGACUAGAGUGUGGCAGAGGGUAGUGGAAUUCCUGGUGUAGCAGUGAAAUGCGUAGAGAUCAGGAGGAACAUCCGUGGCGAAGGCGACUGCCUGGGCCAACACUGACACUGAGGCACGAAAGCGUGGGGAGCAAACAGGAUUAGAUACCCUGGUAGUCCACGCCCUAAACGAUGCGAACUGGAUGUUGGGUGCAAUUUGGCACGCAGUAUCGAAGCUAACGCGUUAAGUUCGCCGCCUGGGGAGUACGGUCGCAAGACUGAAACUCAAAUGAAUUGGCGGGG